This 132-nucleotide small nucleolar RNA is filed under the name Carlito syrichta (Philippine tarsier). Lineage: Eukaryota; Metazoa; Chordata; Mammalia; Primates; Tarsiidae. The record is from RNAcentral.
AGCCUCUCACCUAUGGGGCUGUGGGGGGGGUCCCUUUUCUUCUCAGUCAAGGCUGGAGGCCCAGGUCAACCCUUGAGAUUAUCGCCAGGACUGCCACAGCUGGGCAGCUUUGUUUUCCUACCUCAGAUAUUC